This 460-nucleotide ribosomal RNA is filed under the name uncultured bacterium. RNAcentral describes it as "partial 16S ribosomal RNA". It matches the Rfam family "Bacterial small subunit ribosomal RNA", at positions 338 to 795 of the family's 1533-position model. The record is from RNAcentral.
CCUACGGGUGGCAGCAGUGAGGAAUAUUGGUCAAUGGGCGCUAGCCUGAACCAGCCAAGUAGCGUGAAGGAUGACUGCCCUACGGGUUGUAAACUUCUUUUAUAAAGGAAUAAAGUGCAGCAUGUGUACCGCUUUGAAUGUACUUUAUGAAUAAGGAUCGGCUAACUCCGUGCCAGCAGCCGCGGUAAUACGGAGGAUCCGAGCGUUAUCCGGAUUUAUUGGGUUUAAAGGGAGCGUAGACGGGUUGUUAAGUCAGUUGUGAAAGUUUGCGGCUCAACCGUAAAAUUGCAGUUGAUACUGGCAGCCUUGAGUACAGUUGAGGUAGGCGGAAUUCGUGGUGUAGCGGUGAAAUGCUUAGAUAUCACGAAGAACUCCGAUUGCGAAGGCAGCUUACUAGACUGUAACUGACGUUGAUGCUCGAAAGUGUGGGUAUCAAACAGGAUUAGAUACCCGGGUAGUC